GGUUUAGUCAUCAAACCAAACACCUGAGCAGGAGAAAAUGAUUACAAAAGAAUAAAGAACUCAUAUUUAAUGAAAAUAAGACAAAGAAUCAGUGAGUAACCAAGUAUCAAGCUUUAGAUCAAAAGUCAUAUGAGAUGUAAACUAAAAAAAAAACUUUUAAUCAAUACUAUCACCUAUCACAAGAUAAAAAUCAAUAUUGGCCGAGUACAAAACAGAGAAGGAAAAUAAAUUAGAUAGAUAAAAAAAAUGGUUCCAUCUUUCUAGACAAUUUAAUUAGAUACAAAAUGCUUCCAUCUUUCACAUGUUCUAAAGUUUCAUUUUUUACAUUAAUUGAAUGAACUAGGACAUAAACUCAUUCUCUCAUUUUAGUGAACCAAUACGAAGACCAUACAACACAUAACCAAACCACUAGCAAUUGAACUUAAAAGAAGAAAUCAAUGGAUUGCACACAUGAGGAAAUCAAUGCAAAUAAACAAGAAGAACUCUACAUAUAGGAGCUUCGGGAUAUUAGCUUAUUACACUAUAAAUAUAGGAGUUUAGAGGGAGUGAUUAGUUCAAAUCCAACAUGUAAUCCUCUUAAAUAUGAUAAAAUACUCAGCCUCAAAUGCAUCCUAAAACAAAACUAUAAUCAACAAAAACAACAAUAACAAGUAGAAGAAACUCCAAGAAGGUAUCGAUAAGAAAGAAAACAACCAUCAAACAGAGUGUAAGAUAACCAAAAUACUUAAAGGACUCAUUCAAAACUAACUUAACUAUAUGGAAACAGGCGAAAGAACACUAGCAUUCCGAAUCAAAGAAAAGAGAACAUUAGUCCAAGACAUGAACAAUAGAGGAGAAACAGAACCAAAUAUCCAUUAAUACUCGAGUUUGAACCAAAGAACAGUAGACUACUCAAGCAAAACUAAAUGGAUACUCAAGCUUUAUCGAAACUAAUAAAUGACUUUAGAGUAGUAGCUCAUUGUUUCGACCGAAAAAAAAAACUCACAACAUUCAUGAUUAAAAAAUGAACAAAGAAGAGCUAAAAUGUAAAAGAGAAUCAUUUACCUCUUUCGCAGCAGCAAACUCAAAGUGGACGAGCUGGAGAGGAUGCUUUCACACUGAAAUAUGAUCUUGCAAAAUUUGACAAGCUUUUGCAACCCACAACAAACGGAAAAGAGAAAAACAAUAUUAUACCUAAAGUAUACUUUUGAAUGAUUUUUUGACUUUGGGAAGAUUUUUUUAUGUACCUUUAUAGGGAGGAAUUAGGUUUUUUCAAAUUGGGAGGGAAAAGGGAAAAGUCGG
This 1281-nucleotide unclassified non-coding RNA is filed under the name Hevea brasiliensis (rubber tree). Lineage: Eukaryota; Viridiplantae; Streptophyta; Magnoliopsida; Malpighiales; Euphorbiaceae. The record is from RNAcentral.